Molecule: ribosomal RNA, 477 nt
Filed under: uncultured bacterium
Lineage: Bacteria
Description: SSU rRNA
Rfam family: Bacterial small subunit ribosomal RNA
Source: RNAcentral
AGGACGAACGCUGGCGGCGUGCUUAACACAUGCAAGUCGAACGGAAAGGCCCGCUUGCGGGUACUCGAGUGGCGAACGGGUGAGUAACACGUGGGCAACCUGCCCUCAGCUCUGGGAUAACUCCGGGAAACCGGUGCUAAUACUGGAUAUCAACUUUGCCUCGCAUGGGGUGUUGUUGAAAGUUUUUCGGCUGGGGAUGGGCCCGCGGCCUAUCAGCUUGUUGGUGGGGUGAUGGCCUACCAAGGCGACGACGGGUAGCCGGCCUGAGAGGGCGACCGGCCACACUGGGACUGAGACACGGCCCAGACUCCUACGGGAGGCAGCAGUGGGGAAUAUUGCGCAAUGGGCGGAAGCCUGACGCAGCGACGCCGCGUGAGGGAUGACGGCCUUCGGGUUGCAAACCUCUUUCAGCUCUGACGAAGCGAGAGUGACGGUAGGAGCAGAAGAAGCACCGGCCAACUACGCGCCAGCAGCCGC